Molecule: small nuclear RNA, 107 nt
Filed under: Schistocerca americana (American grasshopper)
Lineage: Eukaryota; Metazoa; Arthropoda; Insecta; Orthoptera; Acrididae
Also listed under: 1 other name
Source: RNAcentral
AUACUCGCUUCGGCGGUACAUAUACUAAAAAACUGGAACGAUACAGAGAAAAUUAGCAUGGUCCCUGCGCAAGGAACAUGCAAAAUCAUGGAAAAAAGACUACUAAU